Molecule: non-coding RNA, 24 nt
Filed under: Arabidopsis thaliana (thale cress)
Lineage: Eukaryota; Viridiplantae; Streptophyta; Magnoliopsida; Brassicales; Brassicaceae
Source: RNAcentral
AGACAAGCAGCAUCAUCUUCUUGC